This 4384-nucleotide long non-coding RNA is filed under the name Prunus dulcis (almond). RNAcentral's name for it is "sRNA ncRNA". Lineage: Eukaryota; Viridiplantae; Streptophyta; Magnoliopsida; Rosales; Rosaceae. The record is from RNAcentral.
UUUUCUCUUCAUAACAGUAAAUUGACAAAACUGCCCUCAACUAAACAUCUUCCUCUGUUCCCUUUUUGCCCCUUCCCCUCCGCUGCGAACGUUUCGUUCGCUCAGAGAAGGCGUCCAUUUUCAGUUCAUUUCGAACCAGCUAGUUGGGGGGCAGCCAUGGAAGAUCCGCAUUCAUUGUUAGACAUGCGUGGGGGGGCGUCGAUUUUCGUUUGGGAGGUGCGCUGCAAAUCCAGCCGCACUUUUAGUCUUUGUCUCACAGAUUUGUGGUUGGGAGAUUUCUCAUCGUUUCUACAGCCUUCGACUCAGACGUCUUCCAUCUUUCUUGCUUGCGAGUUUUUGCAUCCUUUGUCUUCAGGUAUGCAUACCGUCAACUUUUUAACAGAUCUUUUGGUCUUCAUUUCAUGAAUUUGUUUGUUGGCUGGGAGAUUUUUCGUCCUUUGUAGAGCGUGGGUGUGAGCCAUGUUCUAUUUUAGGGUAUUUUUUAUUUAUUUUUUACGAAUUUGGGUUCAUUUAUUUGGUUAAUUUGACUUCAGGUUCUUGGGUAAUCCAUAAUGCUAUAUAAGAGGAGAUGAGGUAUUUAUAUUUCACAACAUAUUGGGUUCUAUCAGGAAGGGAUUGAAUCUCACAUAUUAGCUCAGGUAUUUCCAUCGUUAUUAUUAUUAAUUUUUUUAAUCAAUUGUCGUUUCAAUGACUUUGCUCUCUUGGAGAAAUUUUAGAAAUGGAAAUCAUUCCCAAUUUCAGUUUUGGUUGCCGAUAAAACACUGGAAAGCAAAGACCAAGCGUGCUUUUAAAAAAAAAAAAAAAAAUUCCUUUUUUUAUCUGCUUUUGGUUGCUGUAUCCUAAAUAUGGAGAAAAAAAUUAAUGAUAAAACUCAAGGGAAAAAGAAGUGAAGAUUAAUCAGGUUUCGACAAAAUAGAAAAUGGGAAUGAUUAACCAGCAACCAUACUGAUAAAGUGCCAUCUUCCCUUCUUUGUGUACUCUCUAAGUUCUGCUCGCGUCAAUUUUUUCACCCUAUGCUCUGAGACAUAGCUAUGUGGCUUAAACUUUGGUUUCUGUAUAUGAAAAAUAUAGUUCUUGACUGCGAAGCUUUUCUGCAUAUGUCACAGAUUCUUAAAUUCGAUCCUAAAUUCCUUAUGUUCAACUAGAAAGAAAGGUUUCCUUUUAUCUUCUUGAAAUAAUUCAUGUUUUAAAACCCAUUUAUCUAGAUUGACUCUCAAGCAUAUGGCGUCUGGGGAAACAUAUGGUUUACUUUGUCAGUUCGAUAUGCUUGGUACAUAAGUUCUGAAAAUUGUAUGGCCUGAUUGAGCAGGCAUGCUGUAGAGUUCUUGCUUGAAUGUGUAUGGUUUGUCCUUUAAAAUUACAAUUGAACAUAAUAUCCUAGAUAUUAGGAUUGCCGCAGGCUUAUGUAGAUCACAGUCUGUGCAACGAUUCAAUCCUGAGUGAGAGAGUGGUUUUGUGAUUUUGAUUGUUUAUGGUGACUUUUGAUUAAUGUUCACUUGAGUUGUCAAGACAAAGGGAAUGUAAAUCUAGAUCAACGCUUACAGAAAAUUAAAGUUAUAUAUUGAAGUUUUUGGUUUAUAGAAUUAGAGAGGCUGAGAAAAUAGAAAUCAUGCUACAGUAUACCUGGAAUGAAGAUUUUUGCUGCCUCCUUCAAGGAACCUAAAUCUGUUGUCUUUGGCCUGUCCAAGUCAGCAUAUAUUAGAUAAACUGUACAUUAGUAUUUAUCAAGCAGUUUAGAAAGUGUCACCUUAUAAACAGGGCCAAAUCCUCCCUCUCCCAUUUUAUUCGCUACAUUGAAGUUGUUUGUUGCAGCUAAAACUCUUUUUAAAUUGAAGAGUGGUAGUUCUGCAUCAUUCUUCGCAGCUUCAGCUCUUUCUUUACUUAUAGUCUCACUCAUACAGCCUACUGUGCUUCCUGUUUCAUUCUUAUUAUUAGAGCAUUGGUUGUUUGGAACACUAGAAUAUAUGUUUGUGUGAGUGAGAAAGAGAAAAAGAAAGAGAAGGGUGGUAGCACUAUACCUUCCAUUCCCAAGUAUUUCUUCCAUAUGAAGAAUUUGUUGGCUGGGAGAUUUUUUGUCAAGAGACGUUCUUUCUUUUAGUGGUUUGAUGUUGAUUCGACAGUUGAAGGCUCUGAAAGCAAGUUAAUAUAUAGAGUGACAGUAAUUAUAAAUAGAUGGAUCAUGGAUCUUGGUGCAAUUUUCUCUGUUUUUUGGGUUAUUUUUUAUGCUGUUUUGAUUCAUGGGUUGGUUUUUAUGUAUUUUGUUUUUAGAAGUUGGACUUUUUGGAAUUUGAUAUUGAUAUGGGAAUUGAAAGCUUCAGUUCAGGAUAAUGCUUUUCAGUGUGUGUGUUUUUUUAAUAUGUCAGUCAGAGACUUGAAUCUUAUCUGCAUAAUAUUUCUCCUCCUUUCUGUUUCUUUUGGAUUAAACCUGAAAAAAAAAAAAAAAAAACAAGUGUCCAAUGCAAUGCAAUUGAGACUCUACUUAAUGAAAUUGUUCUCUGGCUUUUCCUUAUCUGAAAAAUGCCAAUUUUCCAUGGAAACAAAGGAAAUUAGGAUAUUAUAUAGAAACAAAAGAAAUUGUUGUGUUAUGUAUUGCAAUACAUUUAGUGAAAAAACUUUUUUUUAAUAAAUGUUUUUUUUUUUCUUUUUCCAAUUCAUAGUGGAAAUAACUUUAAAGUGGGAAAAGAUCAUCAAUUUUUAACAAUGAGGAUGAGAUUUUUUUUAAAAAAAAGGUUGGCUACAUAUCAAAACACUGUUAAAGAUGUAGCACAUGUGGCACUAAUUACACAAAUUGUGUAAUGAUCUAUUGUUGUUAAUAUUUGCUUUCUUAUUUUAUUUUUUGUUUUUCUGUUCAUGUUUUUUUAUACUAAUUUUAUGUAAUAUUUACUGAUUUGGUGAUGUCAUGUUAGAGAUGUUCAAAGUUUGAGCACUACCUCCAAUAUUUGAAUUCUAAUUCUGAAUUUUAAUUAUUCUCUCUUUCUAAGUUUGAACACUACCUCUAUUAUCUGGAACAAAUUGGCAAAACACAAAACACAUUUCAAUUGAGAUAAAAUUUGACCAUGCAGAGAGCUUCUUUGUCUGAGGUUUGGAGGUGUAAGAGGAGUUGGGGUUGCACUAAUUUUUGUUUGUGGUAUCAUGGAGUCACACAGUCAUUUAAUGUUAUUGAUUACAUCUGUUUUGCUUGGUUAGGCUAUAGAAGCUCUGUUUAAUUAGUUUUUGGAUAUUGUGUUGUUUGAAAAUUCUUAUUCUAUAGUUGUGCUAUUGUUGGUGUGUGUCCAUUUUGCUUCAUUAGGCUAUAGAUGUAAUUAAGAAAUAAUAGUUAAUUCAUGAAUGUUUUUUCCCUUCCCAACUAUUGAUCUGUUGGUCGAAGUUUGACUCUGAUUUUUGCUUUGGAUUUUGAUGAUGGCUGAUAUUCUUUUUUUUUCUAUCUCUGUUUGUUUUUGUUUUCUAGGACUUUUCUUUUGUUUUAGAAGUGGACUAACAAAGUUCAGGCAUCUCAUAUAAAAACACUGCAAAGAACAACAUAUUUGGACAGUUUUGGGACUAGAAAAUCAUAAACUGCAAUUCUUUUGAUUUUUUCUUGCUUUUUCUCUUCUUUCUUAAUCAUGUUUUGUUUUGAUGUUUUGUAGGUGUUGUUUUUCUGCUUUAGAUAGUGCUGUUUGGUGAUUGUUUUUGGUUAUGUUAAGCAAGAGGUGUGUUUCUAUGUUGAAAUUUCAAUUUAUUGUUUUCGGUUUUGUGAAUAGAGCAUAGUAAUUAGCUAAUGGCAUCAAUUGACAAUUGGUUGGGAUAAAUUUGAACUAAUUGCUAUGGUUGUACAGCUGUAAAUGAAGUCAAGUAAUUCUUAUGUGGUUUGAACUAAUGACAAGCUGUUUCAACGUAUCCUAUAACCAUCUUUGGGGUCCUAUACCACUUGGCGAACAAUUUGGUACAUUCCUAGAAGUUUCAUACUAGGGAAACUCAGGUCUUUUUUUGAAGCCUUUGUCAAAGAAAUGUGAUAGCUCAAUAUCGCUACCGCCAUCAAUCUUUGAAGAAGAUGAAGAUUCCGGGUUUCAAAUUGCACUAGAUUGGUAUGUGGUUCUGCCAGGAGCUUUUAGUGGUUGCUGGGAACUUCUGGACAAGCAAGAAUCAUGAAUGGUUUUUAGAGAAAUUUAGCAGAAAGAGGCAGCCAAGAGUCACACGGGGAAGGAAAGGACACAGAAACUAGGUACUUAUUUUAAAUCUAUGUUUAUCUUGCAGCUGCAGCUGCUGUUGUUUAGAAUAAUUGUAUGGGGUCUGGUGCAUUCUGUUUUAUUACAAUAAGGGUGGUGGUGUGUAUUUUGCUUGUAUUAAUUUGUGGUGCUGUAAGUUGCUUGUAUUAAUUUUUACAACAAGUAAGCAAAGAUAAAAG